Molecule: ribosomal RNA, 407 nt
Filed under: Bacillus paralicheniformis
Lineage: Bacteria; Bacillati; Bacillota; Bacilli; Caryophanales; Bacillaceae
Description: bacterial SSU rRNA
Rfam family: Bacterial small subunit ribosomal RNA
Source: RNAcentral
UUCAUGGAGAGUUUGAUCCUGGCUCAGGACGAACGCUGGCGGCGUGCCUAAUACAUGCAAGUCGAGCGGACAGAUGGGAGCUUGCUCCCUGAUGUCAGCGGCGGACGGGUGAGUAACACGUGGGUAACCUGCCUGUAAGACUGGGAUAACUCCGGGAAACCGGGGCUAAUACCGGAUGCUUGAUUGAACCGCAUGGUUCAAUUAUAAAAGGUGGCUUCGGCUACCACUUACAGAUGGACCCGCGGCGCAUUAGCUAGUUGGUGAGGUAACGGCUCACCAAGGCGACGAUGCGUAGCCGACCUGAGAGGGAUCGGCACACUGGGACUGAGACACGGCCCAGACUCCUACGGGAGGCAGCAGUAGGGAAUCUUCCGCAAUGGACGAAAGUCUGACGGAGCAACGCCGCG